RNAcentral lists this ribosomal RNA (251 nucleotides) under uncultured Desulfovibrionaceae bacterium. RNAcentral's name for it is "partial 16S ribosomal RNA". It matches the Rfam family "Bacterial small subunit ribosomal RNA", at positions 100 to 339 of the family's 1533-position model. The record is from RNAcentral. Lineage: Bacteria; Pseudomonadati; Thermodesulfobacteriota; Desulfovibrionia; Desulfovibrionales; Desulfovibrionaceae.
GCACGGGUGAGUAACGCGUGGAUAAUCUACCCUUAAGAUGGGGAUAACGGCUGGAAACGGUCGCUAAUACCGAAUACGCUCCCGAUUUUAUCAUUGGGGGGAAAGAUGGCCUCUGCUUGCAAGCUAUCGCUUAAGGAUGAGUCCGCGUCCCAUUAGCUAGUUGGCGGGGUAACGGCCCACCAAGGCAACGAUGGGUAGCCGGUCUGAGAGGAUGACCGGCCACACUGGAACUGGAACACGGUCCAGACUCC